CCGCGCGUCGCGCUGCGUGUGCGUUGAGUCGAUGCGCACCGCAAACACGGACGACAACGAGAUCGACACCAUGGUGUCCGUGGGUGCGUGGAGGCGCCGCACGCCCGACGAAUGCGAAGAGCGCUCCGAGCCUGGCGCUUCCAGCUCCGCGGUGCCCCGGGCACCACCGAACUGUGCGCGCUGUCGUAACCACCGUCUUAAAAUCGAGCUGAAGGGUCACAAACGUUACUGCAAAUACCGCUACUGCACCUGUGAGAAAUGUCGCCUCACGGCGGACAGGCAACGGGUUAUGGCAUUGCAAACGGCCCUGAGACGUGCCCAGGCGCAGGACGAAGCCAGAGCGCGCGCUUUGGAGUCCGGUGUCCAGCCUCCGGGACUCGAACUAGACCGGCCCGAACCGCCUUCAGUCAAGACCCCGAGGAGCCCGGUACCGCCGCCUGCGCCUCGCUCCCUUGGCUCCGCGAGCUGCGAUUCCGUGCCUGGAUCACCGGGAGUAUCGCCGUAUGCGCCGCCGCCACCUUCGGUUCCUCCGCAGCCGACUAUGCCGCCUCUGUUGCCGCCACAACAGCCCGCGGUUUCACUAGAGUCCCUAGUGGAAAAUUGUCAUAAGCUGUUAGAAAAAUUUCAUUAUUCGUGGGAGAUGAUGCCGUUAGUGCUGGUCAUCCUUAACUACGCGGGGAGCGAUCUUGAAGAAGCAUCGCGAAAAAUAGAUGAAGGGAAGAUGAUCAUCAACGAGUACGCGAGGAAGCACAAUUUGAACAUCUUUGACGGUCACGAACUGCGGAACUCGACUCGCCAGUACGGACUUUAAUACAGAAAAUGCUGAGCGAAAUUAAUAAUAUAAGUGGUGUACUAUCAUCGUCGAUGAAGUUGUUUUGCGAAUGAUACUUAGUUUUACAAGUGCGGUUUAUAUGUGGACGCGUGCUGUGCCAUGCUGUGUGCGAAUGUCGAACAAUUCAGUUACAUCGCUUGAAGACUGGCGGCACACUGGGUGGUCCAUCAGUGGCAGCUAUACGAGCGGUCGCUAUGCUCGCUGCUCGAGCUGCAGGCGCGGAAGCGCACGUACGGUGUGUGCUGUUCGCCGCGGUACGUGCUCGCGCCGGAAUACGGGCCACAAUUACUCCCUCUGCCGCUCGCCGCGCGCCACUCGCCACCACCCGCGCACUUGUAGCGAUGCGACACUGCGCCACGUCAGAUGGCGCACCGCUCUGCCGAUCCCCCAUCGACCUCGACGAGGUCCCCAUCAACAACAUCAAGGAGCGGCAUCGAAUAAGUGCGGGAUCGAUUCCCGAGUGGGACACUUUUGUGUGAAUUUGGACUACCAUUAGUGUUUAGAUCUGUAUAGACGUCAUUUAUUAACGUGUGCUGGUGACACCGUAGAGAGUACCUUAUCGUAACGUUUUUAGGCCUUAUUUUAUAAUUAAACUGGCUAAUGUUUAAAACGCUGAGCGUUAAAUAUUCUUUGUCGUUAGCGGCUUGGUCCAAGUGAUGAAUAAGUCUAAAAUAAUUUUUAAUUUCUGAACAAUUUAUCUUAAAUUCAUACGGUCCAGUGAUCUUUAAGUGAUACAACAUAUUUUUAAAUAGCUCAUCGGUUUAAUAUAAGUAUAUUAUGUAACAUUACGUAAGUGUUGUUUUGUCAAAUAAUGAUAAAUAAUUACAAAAUUUUGCGCAUGUUUUGUACAAAUUUAAGUUCAUUCGGUAAUGAUCGAAAUGUGUUAAAAUAUUUGUAUUGAAGAGUUCUAACUGUCUAGUUAUAGAUUCUUUUCAAGAUUUGAUUUAUUAGAUUAUUUAUAAAUGUGAUAAUUUUCCAAAUGAACGCUUUUUAUAAUUCAUAUAUAUUACAUUUUAUAAAUCUUUCACAUGUUCUUUGCUAAGCUGUGAGAAACAAACUCGACGAUACUCGACGUCAAAAUCGAUAUAUCGGAAAGUGAUUUAUAAUGAUGACGACGCCUUUGAAUAUCGCGUUUGAUCGAAAUUUAACCAUUUCAACUAUAUUCAUAUAAGUUUUUGUUCACAUAUGACUCACGACCAUUCAAAUAUACCUACAUUUUUAUAUAUGGCGGUAGUCUUAUAAAAUAACUACCAAAUUUAUCGAGUCGAGCAUCGAAUAUCGAAUUUGUGUCAUACAAAACAAAUUUAUAGUAAAACACGUUGUUUUAGCGUUUUAAAACGCCCCGUGAUAUUAAGUUCUUUCAAAGAUAUUUAAUAUUAGAUAUUCUAUAUUUAAUAAUGUGAUAUUUCUGUUUUUUCUACUUAAUAUAUGAAAAAUCAUAAAAUAUACUUUUACCAUUUAGUACGGCGAUAUAAGACAACAUUUUUUGAAUUUACUUUUGCAUUGCAACGAUGAACAGACACGAUAAAAGUUUCCCAAGCUGUAGAUAACGCUCCUAAUGUAUGGUUACGUUCAAACAUUAUCAAUUUCAACCUGAUAGAUUUCAAAUAUUAAUAAGACGUGUUCAGGAGGUAUCCACCAUUCGUGAUAUGUAAAAUAAUUACAUAUAUAAUUUGAUGUUCCCGCGAUGGUUGCGCAGGGCGGAGCGUUCCCGAUACCGCCCUUCUGAAUCGAAUUACAGUCAUUGCUGUAUGCAGUAGAUUCUAUCAGGGUUGCCAGUAAUGACCGCUAAACAAUUCAUCGCUCUACCUUACAAAAUGUAUAAUAUAACGUUUUCCGUUGAGUAAUUUCUCAGUUAAUUUUUUUUAUUCGCAAUGCUUCAAAUAAUAAAGUAUAUUUUCAUAUUACUAAAUAUUUAUAUGAUUAGCGCGUGAAACUAUACCGUUGAGUAAUGAAAGAAGUUGUAUUUAAUGAAUAAAACAUAUGAAAUCGUCAUAAAUAUCGUUUGAACCAAUAACUGACAAUCCUUUUUUUUCGCUUGAAAAACGCCUUACGCGUUUCCUCCACGGGAACAGUGGGGUGGUAUGUGGGGCUCGCCGGUGUCCAAGGCACCGAGUGCGCCCCGAACAUCGGAAUACCCACUAAAAAACCAGCGGUACCCUUUCCGUCUUAACGCCACGGGAUCGCUUUCGCAUGAUACCGUGAAGCUCAAAUAACUGACAACCCUGAAUUUAUACGUAGUAACCUUACUGAGUGAUUACUUAUAAUUUGAACAAACACCGGUCAUUACCACGGGCAUCGUACACGCCCUGAUUACCUUUGAUUCUCUAUGCUAUUUCACAUAAUUCCCAUUGGCUAUACAGCAUGUAUGAGAACGUAUCGAAUCCUUUUUACCGAGUGAAGUGCAAUGUGAAAUUAUAUCAUAAAUUAUAUUUUGUCUCUUUCAUAUUGCUGAUAUUAGAAUGAGUUGAAACGUUGGACUAUGUUUCAAUAACCCUCUACUUAAAUUUCUACAUAUGUGUUAUCCGCUUUCAUGAUUAUUUUGUACUCUUAUGUCACAUUUUUAGUGCCUUCUUUUAUCAAGCACGGACUCUUUACUUAAAAGUCAUCAUAAUAAAAAGUAGAUAAAUAUAUACUUAAAGUUUUCACAUACUUAAAUUAUUUUUUAAUUUCUAACUUCUUACGUUGAAUUUAUAUAUUAAAAUCUCAUUGUUUAUAUAGAAUAAAGUAGAAGGCGUCCCAUUUGAAAAAAAUGUUAAAAUUUAUUCCAUCCAAAAUUCUUCUAAUAUCGCGUCCAAAGCAAUUCCAUUUUUCAAAAUUAAUUGUAUUGAAUAAAUAUUGUGAUUCGGUUCAAAUGAUCUCAGUUUAAUAUAAAGAUAAAUAAGUGAGCUACAUAAAAAAGUGUAGAGGUAUAGUUUAAAUUUCUUAUUUUAUAUAAAAAUAUCGAGAGUACAUACUAAUUUGUUUGAUUUUUUAAUAUUACAGUGUGUGUAUCCGUAACAGAUUAAGCUGCUAAUAGUCUUUUUUAAUGAAACUUUACGUCAAUGAAGCUAAAAUAAUAGCAAUUUUUUAAUCUAUUUACAAAUUGGGCUUACGCUAGAGUACCCAGAACACCUUACAUCAAAUUACACUCAAUAAAGUCUUAAAAUUAUUUUACGUCUUCUUACGAAUAUUAUAAAUAUGAAAGUGUGUUUAUCCUUUUAUUAUCUGUGAGUACUUGUACAGAUUCUAAUAGCAUUUUGAGAUGGAAGUUGAUGCUAAAAUAUGACUAGAAAAUACAAAUACAGCUAUUAAAAAAAUAACAAUUCUAAAUUUAAAAUGAGUAUUUGUUCAAAAUAAUGACGACAGUGACUUAUAUAAUUUUUUGUGGUUAAAUAUAUAAUUAUAUAUAUUUAACCACAAAAAAUACAUUAAAAUUAUUUCUUUAACAGUGUCAUAUGUCCUAAUACAAUAAAGAAGCAUUACAACUUUUUUAAUAAUAAAAAUUAGACAGCAGCUCAACUGGUACGGAUCCUAUGUGAUGUAUUGUAGCUAGUCAAUACGAACUCUGAAUUUUUCGAAUUCAAAAUAUAUUAAGAUAAAUUUAAUCCGACUUUAUGGCCAGUGAUAUUUUUUAAAAGAAAUAUUUAUGUCUACAUGCCAACUUAUCACUGUAAUCUUGCAUCACAUUUUUCUUAGAUUUAAAAUCAAUCAUCCAGCUGAUACAUUUAUGUCAAAUGUUAAAAAAAUUCGUCCUAAGUCAAACGGCCAUCUUUAAAAAUAAAAAGUAAUUUUUGUAUUCUCUAAUAAUAAUCUCUGAUUAAAACUUUGUAAGUUUGUUUGACAUAUUAUACGUCAUUAACAUAUAAAAUAUUAAAAUAUUAUACAUAAUUAUUGUGAAUAAAUUAUGAAACAUUUGAUUAGACUAUAGAAAUACAUAGAAGUGCAAUAAUUGUAAAUCAAUAGGGAGUACUAUCUCUACACACAAUAUAAACAAUUACAAAAAAAAUAUUUGAUACAGUAUAAGAGAAGUCUUUUAUUUGAAAUGACGUAUUGAGAAACGUAUAAGUAUGUGACUCUUUUUAACAUACUUCAGUAGAAGUUCUCCAUAUCUCUCAAGUAAAAAAAUACAGAUAAUAAAAUUAUAGUAUACUAUAUCUAGAGGUAAAAUGUAAACCGAGUGACUAUUAUAAACUAAAAUAUGCUUGCAUAGUUAUUUGAGAAUAUUAAAAAAAUCGCUUUAAUUAAAUGUAGAUUAUUUCAUGUGUCUUAAUUACUGUAAUCAUACUUAACAUGGCAUAAUGAUUUGCUGUUUGAGUUGUAUAUACUUUUAUAGAUACGAAACAUGUACACAAAUGUAUGCGUCCAAAUUUGUAAACAUUUUCAUGUUUAAUUAAGUAUUAAAAUCCAGACAAAAAUUUAGAAUAUAUUUAUAGAAUCCGUAACCAUUUCAUUGCAAUGUAAAGCUUCUGAGCACUAUAAUAUUGUAUAUCUAAAUCGCUGUUAUACAAAGUGUAAACAAAAUCAUACACUAGUUAAAACUUAAAUAUCGAUAAAAAUUGAUAAUAUUAAUAUUAACUUUAGUAAAAAAAUUAUCUUAAUUACGUUUGUCCAAGUUUGUUUACACUUUGUACGGUUUGUGCGGCUGUAAAGCUUGUCACGGCUGAAAAAAAAUUCUGAAAAAAAUGAGGCCUGAAUGCUAUAUUAGAAAACGAAAUAUUUAAAAUUUUUUCGCUAUGAUAAAUCUAGAUGCGUGUGAAGCGUGUUUGCUAGACGCGCGAAAAUAAUGUAUAUAUCGCACUUUCUCCUCAUUUUUAUAGAUUAAAAAUUAUAGACUCUUUCAAUUAUAAAUAUCUAUGAAAUAUAUAUAAUGCAAACAAAGCUUAAUGAAUAUGUAGAAAUGUUUCUUUGAACAAUUCAACAAUACUUACUUCACUGUAUACAACUAUAAUAUUCUUAAUAAAGUGCAAUGUAAUUUCUCAUUUGUAUAAAAACAGUCUCUUAUGUCAAGGUGUAUAGAAAUUGUAUAAAUUUUAAAUCGUGUCCCUAGGUUUAAUUGUAAAUUUGAAUGAAUCCUAAUAUUUGUUAAGAUAUUAACAUUAAGUAGAUAAAUAGCCUUCAAGCAGUCUUUAUUUAUAAUCAUUGUCUUAAAUGUAAGCCUAACUACAUCCGCCCAUCAAAUACAUCACAAUCAACAUUAUUAUUCCUUAUAUUGAUAUUAAAAUAUUAAUUAUCGUCCAUUUAAAUCCUUUUUUAUCCCUUCUCAAAGAAAUAAGAUUAAAUAAAAUUAUUCUUGUUAUCAAGGUUAACAUGACAUUCGAGUUUUUCAUGUAAUUUAGAUUUGAUAUAUUUUAUUAGAAGACAAAAUCACUGAAAUUUAAUUUUAUAUUUACAUUUCGUCCACAUUUUAGGGUGCUCAAGUCACAAAAUUCCCACUAAAAUGUUCUUUAACUUAAAAGUCCUUCCAUUUACAUAAGAUAUUAUUCUUAGCGACAUAAUUAUUGUAUUUUCAACAGUCAUUUUAACUAACAAAUCUAAUUAUGUAUAGUAUGUAAGUAACAUAGGAUUUUAAUCACAUUUCUGUUGAAUGUCUGGUCCAUACGAACACAGAUGGAAGACAAUUCAACUCAUCUUUGCGUGUACGUCAUUGCGCUUGUCAAGUUGACAGCCAAUUUGAGUUAUGGUGGCAAAACAUUUUUUCACUGUUGUCGUGGCUUUCCUUAAAUUUGCUCCAUUAUUUAAAUUAGCUUGUAACCAAUUAUCCGGUAUGACAAAACCAGAUACAUAAAUGUAUAAAGUUUUAACUCAGUAGGAUGAACACUCUAGGACCUUAGCUUCAGACCUAAAUUAUAAUUAAAAUGUUUUUGACUACAAUAAAAUAUGAUAAUACAAAAUUGAUUAAAAAUCUAUGUGUCUAGUUCUAACAUAUGUAUAGUUUAUAUAUCUAAUAUAUUGAUGUAGGUAUUUGAAACCAAUCCAACAUAUUAUAUGAAAAUGUGUUACCAGAAACUUUGUCUGAACUUGAGUGUAAUGACGUCAUAGCAAAUUGGAGCAUAGGUAUUUACGAUUGUUAUAAACAUUUUUUUUAUACAAAUGUUUUUUUUAUAAACUUAACGCAAUAUUAUAAAUUUCAUUUAUACAUUAUUUAUUAAUGUAUAGAUACAUAAUAUAUAUAUGAUACCUAUGUUCCUGAUAUUUUUAUUAACAUUUUGUCACAUGUACAAUAAUAUAUUUUUCAACGAAUAACAUUAAGUUUUUUAGUAAUGAUCAUUGUACUGUACAAGUUUACUUUAUUAUUGUAAAACUCUUAUUUGUUGUAUUUAUAGAUGAAGAGGUUUGAGGAUUUUAUUUAAUUAUAUAAAACUGAUAUUUAUAAAUUACUUCUUGUCAAAUAAACGAUUUUAACGAUCGUU
Molecule: RNA transcript, 7224 nt
Organism: Nymphalis io (European peacock)
Lineage: Eukaryota; Metazoa; Arthropoda; Insecta; Lepidoptera; Nymphalidae
Gene: dsx
Gene name: protein doublesex
Exons: 6
Source: RefSeq, a predicted model, not a curated record